AAACCGCAAUCGGAUCUUGAAUGCCCAAGUAGUGUUUCCUUGUUAGAAGAUACAAAUCCAAAGACUCAUAUGGACUUCGGCUACACCAUCAAAACUUUGAGAAUCAAGAAGAAGUUCUGUUAGUGUUUUGGAGUCAAAUAUGACUGGAUGUCAUGUUUAUGAUGGCGUGUAAAACUAGAACCACAACGCGAUAUUAAAAGCCUAAGUAGUGUUUC
This 215-nucleotide small RNA is filed under the name Arabidopsis thaliana (thale cress). RNAcentral describes it as "ATSL162990". The record is from RNAcentral. Lineage: Eukaryota; Viridiplantae; Streptophyta; Magnoliopsida; Brassicales; Brassicaceae.